RNAcentral lists this ribosomal RNA (538 nucleotides) under Arrhenia elegans. Its description in RNAcentral is "eukaryotic LSU rRNA". The stretch from base 187 to 340 matches the Rfam family "5.8S ribosomal RNA". Lineage: Eukaryota; Fungi; Basidiomycota; Agaricomycetes; Agaricales; Hygrophoraceae. The record is from RNAcentral.
GAAUUAAACAACAACCCGGGGAGUUGAUGCUGGUCGCGAGACAUUGUGCACGCUCCCCUUUUGUUCAUUCAUCUCACACCUGUGCACUUAUCUGUAGGCUGAGCGAUCAGCCUACGUAUACUUUUAUCACACCCUGUAAAGUCUCGAGAAUGUAAACAAGGCGCUCGCGUCUUUUAAACUGAAUACAACUUUCAACAACGGAUCUCUUGGCUCUCGCAUCGAUGAAGAACGCAGCGAAAUGCGAUAAGUAAUGUGAAUUGCAGAAUUCAGUGAAUCAUCGAAUCUUUGAACGCACCUUGCGCCCUUUGGUAUUCCGAAGGGCAUGCCUGUUUGAGUGUCAUUAAAUUAUCAACUCUGACAACUUUGUUCUCAGAGCUUGGACUUGGAGUGUGCCGGGCCCCUCUGUGGGGUUCAGCUCCUCUUGAAAUGCAUAUGCGGAACCUUUGAUCACAGAGCAGCUCCAGCGUGAUAAUUAUCUACGUUGCGGCAGCGAUGCGGUUGGAUCUGCCUACAACCGUUGCAGACUUUUUGCAACAGG